UGGGUGCGACCCGAAACCAGGCGAUCUACGCGCGAGCAAGGUGAAGCGUGGCGAAAGCCACGUGGAGGCCUGUUAGAGUUGGUGUUCUACAAUACCCUCUCGUGACUCGUGUGUAGGGGUGAAAGGCCCAUCGAGCCUGGCAACAGCUGGUUCCAACCGAAACAUGUCGAAGCAUGACCUCAUCCGAGGUAGCCCGCGGGGUAGAGCUACCGAUUGGAUGACCCGCCUCCGAGAGGAGUCGGCCAUCCUGUCGAACUCCAAACCCGCAGGCGCUGUAGACGAUGGGAGUCCGGUGCGCGGGGUAAGCCUGUGUACCGUGAGGGGAACAACCCAGAGCCGGGUUAAGGUCCCAAAGUGUAGAUUAAGUGCGAUUCGAAGGUGGUCUCAAGCCCUAAACAGCCGGGAGGUGAGCUUAGAAGCAGCUACCCGCUAAGAAAAGCGUAACAGCUUACCGGCCGAGGUUUGAGGCGCCCAAAAUGAUCGGGGCUCAAAUCUACCACCGAGACCUGGCCGUAUCCGUGAAAGGAUAACCGCGUAGGUUGGCGUACUGGUCGGACGGAAGCCCGGGCGAGAGCUCGUGUGGACCGUCCAGUAACGACAAUCCUGGUCACAGUAGCAGCGAUAGUCGGGUGAGAACCUCGACGGCCUGAAGAGCAAGGGUUCCUCGGCACUGCCGUUCAGCCGAGGGUUAGCCGGUCCUAAGGUGUACCACAACUUGACUACACCGACGGGAAGCUGGUUAAUAUUCCAGCGCCAUCGUGCAGUAAACGCCGACGCCGUGUGGAACGCUGAGCCGGGCACUCGCCCGGUCGAAUCGUGGAAACUCGUGGAAGCCGUCACGGCACGAAGCGAGCGAAACGCGAGACAGCGAAAGUCAGCCGUACAUAGGGCCCGUGAAAAGGCAAGCAUGAUGUCCGUACCGAGAUCCGACACAGGUGCUCUGCCAGCGCAAGGCAAGGCCUGUCGGGAGAACCGACGUUAGGGAAUUCGGCAAGUUAGUCCCGUACCUUCGGAAGAAGGGAUGCCUGCUCUCGACGGAGCAGGUCGCAGUGACUCGGGCGCUCCGACUGUCUAGUAACAACACAGGUGACCGCAAAUCCGCAAGGACUCGUACGGUCACUGAAUCCUGCCCAGUGCGGGUAUCUGAACACCUCGUACAAGAGGACGAAGGACCCGUCAACGGCGGGGGUAACUAUGACCCUCUUAAGGUAGCGUAGUACCUUGCCGCUUCAGUAGCGGCUUGCAUGAAUGGAUAAACGAGAGCGCCACUGUCCCAACGUUGGACCCGGUGAACUGUACGUUCCAGUGCGGAGUCUGGAGACCCCCAAGGGGAAGCGAAGACCCUAUAGAGCUUUACUGCAGGCUGUCGCUGAGACGUGGUCGC
RNAcentral lists this ribosomal RNA (1384 nucleotides) under Halorubrum sp. SS7. Its description in RNAcentral is "partial 23S ribosomal RNA". It matches the Rfam family "Archaeal large subunit ribosomal RNA", at positions 781 to 2208 of the family's 2987-position model. The record is from RNAcentral. Lineage: Archaea; Methanobacteriati; Methanobacteriota; Halobacteria; Halobacteriales; Haloferacaceae.